UAGCCGUCAAACUGCACAUGUCGCUCCCUUCACAAAAAAACUAGCACACAGAUACAUCCCUUCCGCUAUCCUUAUCCUGAUCCCUCUUCAGAAAAAAAAAGCCUUAUCCUGAUCCCUUUCCUUCUCUCAGAACGGAGGUGGAGAAGAAGCACGGGAGCACACUGGAGAGUCGACGUGGAGGUGGCGGAUCAGAGGAGCCGGCGAAAAGGUCGGCCAGGGAACGGGAAUAGCAGCUCCACCGUCUCGUCCUCCCAAAUUCUCAGAGCGGAGCUGGAGUAAUGCCGUCUGCGUCGGCGUCGGCGUCGAGCCGUCAAGGUACCUGCUCUUCGUGCGCGCCGGGAUUUACCUUCUCAUGCAUGCUGGCUGCGAGGGUCUCAACCCCGCCGCCGGAGUCGUGGACGGGGUCUCCAUAUUGAGGGGUAGGGAACGCGCGCGAGCGCGCGAGAGAGAGCGCGGGAGGGCAAUGGAAACGUCGAUUUUUGCCGUCAAUUAGAGGUGAUGGCGCAGUAGCGCCUCCAAAUCUAGGAAUGGUAAUUCCAGUUUAGACGUAUGUGUUUUGGGGAUCAUCCUGUUAGUUUGGGUGCUUAGGUAUUGACGCACAACAGCCCUGGAUUGCACUAUAGAUAGCUUUAUUAGUAGGUCGUGCUUAGGAUCAUAGUCCAUUAGUGCGCGUGUGUGUGGUAGCUGUAGAGCUUGGAUCAGGCGCAUAGCAACCCUGGUUUGCAUGCGACAGCAGGACUGGAGCUCACCCGCUGCGGCGUGAUGCGACGAACCGCACCAAAGAACUCCUUUAUUGACAUGACGAUAUCCCCCAUUCAAUCUACAAUUCUGCUACUUCUUUUAAGGUGUGAGCAUGGUCAUUCCUUGCAACUUUUUAUGGGUGCACACCACAUGCUCGAUCAACUGUCUCCAUAGUUUGAACCAGCGGCCUGUCCAGAUGCAUGUCAUAUGUGCAACUUGCUAUGCGACUACUCUUAUGUCUACAAUUGCAUACUACUAGUAGUAUGCAAUAUAGUAUGCAAUUGAGAAUUGAGAAAAACCUUGUAUGUGUGAGUAUUUCAUGUAAACACCCAUUAACUACCGAAACUAUUUCAUAUGAACCUAAUAUGAUUUUGCCUUAGAGAUUGGAUGCGUUUAUUCCCGCUACUAAUCGAAGGGGUGUUCUCAUGCCAGGGUGCGGGAUGUGGGAUGUCUGCCCAUCCGCAACUACUGGAAGAACACGCUGGCAGCGAGCGUCUCCAAGAGCAAGGGAGGAGAUGACGUUGCAGCUCAAGGGGGCCUCACUACCUGAAGGUGAGCAUGGAUGGCGCCCAUUUUUCCCCAUCAAAUUUGUACAAAUUCGUUGCAGAGCAAGGGACUUUUGUGUUUUAAUCAGUGGGUGAAUUUUUUGCAAUCAAUAGAUAGGCAGUUAUGUGAAUUAUGGGGAGAAAGCAGUCGCUUGGAUUUCUAGAAGAGUUGCAUCGUGUUGUAAAGCAGUUGCUUGAUUUUGUUAGGACAGUUGUUUGGUUUUUGCUAGGUCAAUUUUGCAUUGUGUUUUAGGUAAUGCAGUUGUUUGGAUUGCUAGGAAAGUUGCUUGGUUUUCCUAGGACUGUUGCUCGGUUUUGCUAGAACAGUUUUGCAUUGUGUGUUUUCAUAAUAUAGUAGGAUUUCUUUUGCUAGAGACAGUUGCUUUUCAAUCUUGCUAGAACAGUUGUGUGGAUUUUGCUAGGUUUGGGGGAGGGGUAGUAGGAGUUGCUCACAGUGUGACGUCGAGCUGCGUGCGAGGGGGGGAGGGUAGUAGGAUUUUUCUUGGCACAAUUUGUUGAUUUGGUUACAAGCAUUUGUUUGCCUGCAAUAUUCAACUAAAGUUGCUUUGGUUUUACUGAAUUCAUGGGGCCUUUAUAUCCAGUGAUCUUCAGUCUACCUUUUUUACAAACGGUUUAUUCUAAACCAUAGAACAGAGACAUCACAUGCAUCAUAAUGCCUCUGAAAGAGCAACACAAAAAAGAGGCCAGUAGUGAUAGAGCAACUUCGAACCAGAAUAGAGCAACUAGCCAUAAAUCACAAAACAUCAUAAAGUAAAACUUGGUGUGAUUUGGGAAGAAUUAUCACACAACAAAAGCAACAAAAAUACAUAAAAAGAUACCAGAGUUUGCCUACAAUGUUUGGAUGCCUUUUUUAUACACAAUACAUGAAAGAUAACAUAGUUGUCCACAAUCAACCAUACAGUUGCCUAAAAACAUGUAUCGAGUUCCCAAUCCUCAUGAACAGAAAUGUCAUCAAUACAAUAUUUUGGCCAAUAUCUAAAGCUUUUAGAUAUCUUUCAAUUUGGUUUGUGUCAUAGAGAUGCGUUCAGAAUUUCUUCUCCUCGGGUGGGAUCCCAUGGUGCGAUCGUAACGAAUGAUCAUAGAGGGGGGAGGGGUGAAGCUGGUCAUGGGGACAUAACUAAAACAAUGAAGUGUUUGUAGGGGAUUAAGUUUUUCUGUGAACCCCUCCAAAAGCGAACAUGUGUAUAUUCUUUAUCCCUUUUUUUUUCAGGUGCCAUAGUUGCCCAUAAUCAACUAUAAAGUUGCCUAAAGCCAUGAAUCCAGCUGCCCAAUCCUCAUGAACAGAAACAUCACCCAGACCAUAUUUUGGCCACUAUCUAAAGGUUUUAGAUACAUUUUAAUUAAGUUUGUGUCAUAGAGAUGCGCCAAGAAUUUGUUCUCCUCAGGGUGGGAUCCCUUGGUGCGAGAAUGAUCGUAGAGGGGGAGGGGGUGGUGCUGGUCAUGGGGACAUAGUGUUUUCAGGGGACUAAGCUUAUCUGUGAACCCCUUAAAAAAUGAACAUGUGUAUGUUCUUUAUCCCUCUUUUUUAGGUGUCAUCUAGAGAUAUGAGGCACACGACUAUGCGUGCGUGGGUGUGGUUGUGUAUAGUUGCCCAAGGAAAAUAGUGGAGUUUUCUGGAAAACUCCACAAAAUUGCCUGCUAAAUCACAUUGUUGGGAUCAUAGGCACCAGCAAAAUUGGGAGGAAGUUGCUUCAUUUUAAGUAGUAGGACAUAAACAUUUUUAGAAAAAUCUGCAUAUUUUUGUUGUUAAAAAAAGUUCCUUUUUUGUGUGGACACGGUUUGAUUGUAUUUGCACUGAACAAGCUUCUUACGUUUUUUUUUGCAUGGACAAAGUUUCUUAUAUCACACAAGAUAGUUGCUUAAAACCAGUAUGUCUUUGCUGGGAGAAGGGACACAUGGCUAGUCACUUUUGAUAUCAUGCGACCGUGUUUUUUUUUCAUUUUUACUUGUGUAUAUAAUGCACCUACAUAUGCGUUACUGUCACCUAUAUAUGACAUCCUCUUGGUUGUUUUUGUGGUUCUUUGUUUUUUUGUACAAAGGGUUGCCUGAUAUUACUGCAAGGACCUUAUAGGGGCAACAACCCCUUUUUUAAUGUCUGACACUAGUUGCUUCAAAUUUUAUCAUGAGUUGCCUGAAAUCACAUGCAAAGUUCUUGCAUGUAUUUUUACUUUUGCAUAGGGGGAUGCACGAUAAUUUUUACUACAAGGAACUUAUAUGGGAGCAUACCUUUUUUACAGGCCUGAUAGUAGUUGCUUCAAAUUUUAAUAUGAGUUGCCUGAAAAUCACUGGUAAGUUUGCCUCGUGUGGUUUUACUCUUUUGAAAACAUCAUGAUCUAUGGUCCAUAAAUGCAUGAACUGUUUUAAGGCUCUAUACUUGCAGUACAUAGUUGCCUAGCUUUUUGGUCGCUUUUUUCAAGUUCUUACAGGAAAUUGUGUUUUUGCCCAACAACUUAUCUACUCCCUCCGUCCAGGGAAGAGUGUACAUCUAGCUUCAAAAUUUGUCCACAAAAGAGUGUACUUCUAUCUUUCCAAUGCACUUUAAAGUAGGAAAAAAUACUUCUCUCUUACCACACGAUAAUCAAGACCAAUAGCAAUCUACACAUGGUCUUCUUAAUUUCUACAUGCACUUAGCUCAUUGGGGGUUGGGUAAUUAAAGAUGAGAGAGAUGGUGGCUUGCACCUUUCCAAUGCAUUUUUUACUCAACUUCAUAAUUUAUUCUAAAAUUUCUAGAUGUACACUCUUCACUCGACGAAGGGAGUAUGUGUGAAAGGAGACAAACCAUGUUUUUGCUGAUCAUCAACCUGUUUUUUUGGCUGUUCAAGUAUCCCCUGUCAUUAAAACAAGUGAAAGGGGAAGGAGGGUGAGGGGAUGGAGAGGGGUGUGCAGGUUUCAGCCAGUUGUUUUUUUGCUACAAUUUGAUCGCUGCGUCAUGAUUGCCAAAAGCUUUCUAGAUCGGACGGAGAGAGGAUUCUGGAAACUGUUAGGUGGGAGGAGAGGAAGAAGGACGACAUGCCGGGCGAUUGGGUGAUUGGCGCUGGUAGCCAAGAAAAGGGGGGAGGGGGGAACAGGUGGGGCGCGGUUCGGGCGGGCAUGCACUGGUUCCGGGAGACGUGACAGGAGGGGACCGGGCACGCUCUGUUCUUUCCUUUUGCUGGCGUAUUUCCCAAAAUGAACAACCAAAAAUAUGCAGACCAAAUUGAAAGGUAUCGAGUUGCCCAAUCCUGAUGAACAGAAACCUCACCAAGAUCAUAUUUUGGCCAAUAUCUAAAGGUUUAUGAUACUUUUCAAUUACAUUUGUGUCAUAGAUAUGCGUUAAGAAUUUCAUAAAAAUAUACCAGAGUUUGCCCUACACUGUUAGGAUCCCUUUGUUAUGCACUGUACAUGAAAGAUAACAUAGUUGUCCACAAUCAACCAUACAAUUGCCUAAAAGCAUGUAUCGAGCUGCCCAAUCCUCAUGAACAGAAACAUCACUAGGACCAUAUUUCGACCAAUAUUUAAUGGUUUUAGAUAUUUCAAUUAAGUUUGUGUCAACAACUCAAAGCAACUCAACUAAAGGUAACUUAGUACUAAAUUAUCCCCGUUCUGGGCGAGUGAUGUUAGUCUUGACCCAACUCGGUAUACUCAUGAUGGACGUUUAUAGUGACUCCGGUAUGUGAUAGCGUUAUCUGACCUUACCAGUGACGCAGUCAACGGCCAGUAUGAUGAGAAGGUCGCGAUAGUUACCUCUAUGGUCCAGACCGUUGAAGAGUUGUGAUACGAUGUAGUAGAGGAUGUACUCGUAUGACGUAUAACUGGUUGCACAAUCCCCAUUUCCGAUGAACUUGCUUGAUAUAGACGAGGGCCAUGCGACGACGCAGUGUGCAACGGAGUGAUGCCUUGGUUCCGAGGGGCGAUAUUCGCUUCAUUAUGAGGUAGUAGUGAUGGUUGUCGCAAGAGGUACGGGCCGAUCGUGUGCCAUAGUGAUCAUUGAUUCAUCAUAGAGGAGGUUGCAAGGGACGCGAUCUAGCAUAUGCUUCAAAAGGGAGGGACACGAGGGCGUAGCCUGGCGUCGGGGCCGUUAGAUAGGUUGGCCUGGCUCCCGGGCAACGGUGCCAGUGAGCGGUACUCCAGGUGACCGGACGGAUCAUCGCGAGGUGGCGUUCGGCACGGUACACUAGGCAGCACGCGGACAAAUCGGUUGAUGAGGGUUUGGCGACCGCGGCGACACAACAAGCUAGGCAGCACGAGCAGUUGCUGGCGUGUAAGAAAACGUAGCAAAGAAGCAAGCCAGCAUCAUCGUCCAGCUACUUUGCCAUGCACACGUAGUCACGUACUAGAUGGAGGCGUCCUGUGAGGGAGGGUGCGCUCGAAUCAACGAGCCAGCGCAGCGACGCUCCGUGGCCGGGUCCAAAAUACAGUAUAAUCAAGUGAACCAUCGAUCGAACUCCCAACCCAUCGCUCACUCCUAAAUGCUGCAUCCAGCUGAGCUAUCCCAAGGCUUUGUUUUAGAAAAGAAGAUUAGGAUUCACAUUAAAUAGUAGCACCGCUCUUUUUCAUUCUAUUUGACUAAUAAUUUAUAUAUGUGUGCAAUCUGAAAUCAGCAAGCCGUCUCAAGAAUCAAUGGAAGGAAUUAACGAGGGAGAGAAAAGCGAUAAAAUAAAGAAGGAAAAAGACGUGGCUGGAGGGGAACACACCUCGGAGGGCUUGUGGGAAAGAGAAUCACGUAAAAUGUGAGGGACGCCUCAGAUGAAAAUAAAGAGACUGGAUCCGAUGUGAUCGGACGUGAAAAUGAGGAAACGGAAGAGUUCUCAAGAGCUCCGCCGUGUACCCUCAAUUUAUUGCCACGGCUAUGGAGGUCACCCAUCGUGUUGGGUGAAGUUGCUGGAGUUUCGGCCGAGAAAUUCCUGUGGGAGGGGAGGGGGGACGGCUGGCAAUUCCUCAUGCUGUUGUGUUCGUGUAGGCGGAUCUGCCCCGGUGCACCGCACGCUGUGGUGGUGCAUACAGCGCUGGCGGCCAUGGUAUGAUAUAGUGGCAACCGUGGCCGGCACGACAAAGGUGGAUAUGUGGAGGAGCCGUGGAAGCACCCCUGCGCGCGCCCUCGCGUGGCGGCUCCACCCGCUGCCUGCUGCUGCCUUGAAAGUUGCAACGCCGCUGCUCUCUGCACUUUCAGCAAUCAUGGCAGCCCCAAGCCAUGCUGUUCUCGAUGCCAUAUUUUCUAAUUCGAAAUCUUUGCAUUUUUUUGGUAUUUGCUGGGAUUGACCGUGAUGGUAAGGUGCCUAAUACAGACAAGGCACCACGCAGGAAGCUUCUCAUUAACGGGCACUGCCAUGUGGGUGUUGGAGGUCUGCGGCAACGCCUUCCGCUAUAGUGCUGGCGAGAACAUAUAAUCCUCCUAAAGAAUACAAGGUCAGGGUGAGAUAUCAUAUGCUCGUAAACUUCCAGGCCGUGUACUUAGAUGUCCCUUCUAUUUUACACGCGUUGUGAGUGUUAAUCA
RNAcentral lists this long non-coding RNA (6780 nucleotides) under Triticum aestivum (bread wheat). RNAcentral describes it as "long non-coding RNA (TAES_LNC001204)". Lineage: Eukaryota; Viridiplantae; Streptophyta; Magnoliopsida; Poales; Poaceae. The record is from RNAcentral.